Molecule: long non-coding RNA, 1081 nt
Filed under: Coturnix japonica (Japanese quail)
Lineage: Eukaryota; Metazoa; Chordata; Aves; Galliformes; Phasianidae
Description: lncRNA (ENSCJPG00005005349.1)
Source: RNAcentral
CUCUCAGGGCCUGUCAAAACAUGUGGUGCCCUUGCAAUAUGAUGUGAAUUAAAUGCCUUCUGGCCCCUGAAAUAUUGUUUUCAAGGCCAAAUGUGUACUUUCACAGUUUCCCCCUAGUAACUACUAAAAAACAUUUGAGACAUGUUGAUUGACUCCUACGAUUUGCAAAAAGAACUAAAAAACACUGCAAUGUGUUUUCAACAAAAAGCUAGGACACAUGCCUACUUGCAGAUUGUUGGUCACUGACAACUCCACCCACCAAGAAACUGGUCAACAUCACUUAAAGUUCCCCCUGAGAGAGAAAAGGCUGUUUACAAGAUUCCACAAGAACAAAUUUCAUAGCCAUUGGUUUGAUUUCUACUGGAUAUCUCCACGUUGGCAACAUCUUCUGCAAAGUGUUUGACACUGUCCCAUCCAUCCUGGUAACUAACUAGAGAAAAAUGGAUUUGAUGGAUGAACCACUCACUGGAUAAGGAAUUGGCUGGAUGGUUGCACUCAGAGAGUUGCAGUCAGUGGCUCGGUGUCCACGUGGAGUGUGAUAAUGAGUGGCAUUCCUCUGGAAUCGGUGCCGGGACCAGUGGUAUUUAACAUCUUUGUUGAUUAUAUGAACAUUAGGAUUAAGUGCAUCCUCAACAAGUUUGCAAACAACACCAAGCGGAGUAGUGCAGUUCACAUACUAAAGUGAAUGGAUGCCAUCCAGUGGGACCUACACAAACUUGAGAGGUGGUCCCAUGCCAACCUCAUGACGUUCAACAAGGCCAAGUGCAAAGACCUGCAUCAUGGUUGGAGCCGGCAUGAGGGGACAAUGUGCACUUGCAGCCCAAAAGGCCAACUGAUUGCAUUAAGACAAGCAUGACUAGCAGGUCAAGGAAGGUGAUUCUGACCCUCUACUCUGCUCUCAUUAGACCCCAUCUGGAGCACUUUGUACAGUUCUGGGGUCCUCAAUAAGGAGCUAUGGCAGCAGGCCCAGAGGAAGGCCACAAAGAUGAUCAGAGGGCUGGAGCACCUCCCCUGGGGGACAUGUUGAGAGCUGGGGCUCCUGGAGAAGAGAAGGCCCUGUGUGGACUUUUUAGUGGCCUUA